AUGAGGAAAUGCACCACGGAAGCCAGGUGUCAGAGUUCUGGUUUCCCAGCAACCGUGGCUCUGCGUGGCUGUCCGAACAUUCACGCUCAAGAGAUUUCAGGAAGUGAAAAGAUGGAUGACGCCAGGGUGAUGUCCUCAGCAAACGAUGAUUUCUCACUCCAGAUCUAUAAUAGAGCAAUCAACAUUCAAGAAAGAAGAGCAAGCUGGAGGAACCUAAUUAACCAUGUAGAAGCAGUCUUAAAAGACUAUGAGGGUACUUCAGAAAGCUUGUGGAAAAAUGAAAUUAAAAGUGACUUACUUCUCAACAGCUUCACAGCACACCCAGGUUUACAGAUAUGCUGCAGAUACCACCCAUGA
This 357-nucleotide long non-coding RNA is filed under the name Oryctolagus cuniculus (rabbit). RNAcentral's name for it is "lncRNA (ENSOCUG00000038443.1)". The record is from RNAcentral. Lineage: Eukaryota; Metazoa; Chordata; Mammalia; Lagomorpha; Leporidae.